GCAUCGAUGAAGNACGCAGCGAAAUNCNAUAACUAAUGUGAAUUGCAGAAUUCAGUGAAUCAUCGAGUCUUUGAACGCACCUUGCGCCCUUUGGUACUCCGAAGGGCAUGCCUGUUGAGUGUCAGUAACUU
RNAcentral lists this ribosomal RNA (131 nucleotides) under Flammulina velutipes. Its description in RNAcentral is "partial 5.8S ribosomal RNA". It matches the Rfam family "5.8S ribosomal RNA", at positions 30 to 154 of the family's 154-position model. From Rfam's summary of the family: 5.8S ribosomal RNA (5.8S rRNA) is a component of the large subunit of the eukaryotic ribosome. It is transcribed by RNA polymerase I as part of the 45S precursor that also contains 18S and 28S rRNA. Functionally, it is thought that 5.8S rRNA may be involved in ribosome translocation. Lineage: Eukaryota; Fungi; Basidiomycota; Agaricomycetes; Agaricales; Physalacriaceae. The record is from RNAcentral.